Long non-coding RNA from Pezoporus occidentalis (night parrot), 1926 nucleotides. RefSeq lists it as uncharacterized. The transcript has 3 exons. NCBI's taxonomy places the organism in Eukaryota, Metazoa, Chordata, Aves, Psittaciformes, Psittacidae. The record is from RefSeq and is a predicted model, not a curated record.
GACAAAAGAAGGAACUUCUCAUUAGUUAUUUCAUUCCAGCCACUGUAUUUGAAAUAAUUUACUUUUAUUUAGUAGCUUUUAUCCCAUUCCUGUAUGCUGAUGGGAGAAUAAAAUGGUCAAAUAAAGAUGGUCCAGGUGGUAGCUCAAUACGUAAAUAACUAACAUGGAUCGGUGGACCCAUGUGAUUGAAAAUGGAGGCCAGGCAGAAUUCCUCAGAUCCCACCUACCUUUGCUGCCUGACAGCAGUAACCUCUAAAACCUUAUUUUUUUCCCAGUGCUUUUCCCACACUGUACAUAUGGAUGUGUGUGUACCCAUAUGCAUGUAAAAGAAGCUGCACAUGCAAGCGUUGAGUCAGUGAACAUUUUCAGGUGCUUAGAAUAUCUGAACUGUGAGAAAGACAAGGGUUUGUUGUUUUUACUUUUCCACACAGACUACUUUGACCUUUAACGUGAGUGUGAUCAGUCCUUCACAGCUCCCAUUCCCCUCCAGUCAGCAGUGGUGGGGGCCAGGAGAGAAGGAACAGGGGCCAACCCUUGGGUGCAACUCACGGAGUCCAUCUAUUCAGAAAGCCUCUUCCUCUCUUCUCUAACUUCAGGGGAUGGUAUAGAGAAUAAAGGAAAACAGAGAAGGGUUGGAAUCAGCAAUAAGAAUAGGGAAAAAAAUGUCAUGUCUUCUCCCUGGCUUGUGUGGUGUUUACAGUGGGCAGGGUCCUGCCAUCCAAGCCACGCAACUGCAUCUUAGUGCACAUGUGGGAUUUUACUUUGAGAACUGUAGGUGUCCUCUCUGUCUUCUAUUUCAUGCUCACACAAGGAUUUACUUGGAGCAGAGAGCCGGGUGGUUGAACUGAUUGAAACUAGCCAGGAGUAACCAGGGUAACAUAUACACCAUACCUCACCUGCAUACAGGCAGGCGCUACAUCCUAAAGAUAGAAUGGUGCUGCAGUCUCCAUCUGUGGCGGCUCACUAUAAAUAACAAAAUUAGCAAUGAGCACUAAUAUGUUUUGCUCUUCAGCUGCUUGUGUAAAGGAAUGUCACAGGUGAGCAGAGCAGGGAGUGCACAAUAUUCUCCAACAACCUAUGUCACUUGUAAGGACCUUCUUCAGGCAGAAAGUCAGAAGGUUCCCUUCAGACCACAGAAUGGCCACAGCUGCAAUAAAUCAUGGUCCUGGCACAGGCAGGGACCAGCACCCACUCUUUCAGCAAACAACUGUGAUAGGUUGACAUCUUGAGGCCCCGUGGUUAAGCAUAUGUCCAGGCACGUGAGUUUGUGCUCUAUUUCCCCUUUGCCUCUCUAAUGCAUUGUAAGAGCCUGAAACUUAAUUUGCAGCUGACAUAAAUGAAUGAGUGGAGGACUGCACCUGAGGCUCGCUAAAGACAGGGCUAUGGAUGGACCAUGCCAGGCCUUUAAUGCUGGAAGAUGAAAGGAUGCUUUUGGGUUCCCAGAAGCCCCCCUCAGCAUUCGGAGGAUGAGAGUGUGAACAUUUGAUAUUGCUCUCUUUCCCUUGGAGCUUCAAGUGUGAGAAUUCUAUGAACUUAUCCAGACAACCAGAUGCUCAGCAAAAAAGAAAAUAAUAUAGUGUGUGUGCGUGUGCCUGUGCACAUGGUUGUAUUCACACACAUAUCUAGCAGUCCUGGUCAAUAAAUCCCCAUCACCACACCUUGAAAUACAGACAAGUUUUCUUAAAGGUUGUUAUGAGUACAUAGAAAAGCUCAAUUUCUCCAUGCAUGGUGUUCGCUUAGGCAGUAUUUUGCAGUGUUGCUUUUGGGGAAGCCUUUUGUCUCUUCUUGUUUGUUGGGAGAGUGUAUUCAUUCUCCCAACUCCUUAUGCUGAAUCAUAGAAUGGUUUGGGUUGGAAGGGACCCUAAGCUCAUCCAGUUCCACCCCCUGCCAUGGGCAUGGACACCUUCCACUAGACCAAGCUGCUCA